UUACGGCUCAGUACACGUAGUCAACCUGCCCUGGAGACCAGGACAACCCCGGGAAACUGGGAUUAAUCCUGGAUAGGUCAUCUCAUCUGGAAGGAGAGAUGGCUUAAAGGGGUACGCGGGCUUCUUUCGCGCAUCUGCUCCAGGAUGGGACUGCGUCCGAUCAGGCUGUUGGCGGGGUAAUGGCCCACCAAACCUGUAACCGGUACGGGCCUUGAGAGAGGGGGCCCGGAGAUGGACACUGAGAGAAGGGUCCAGGUCCUACGGGGCGCAGCAGGCGCGAAACCUUCGCAAUGCGCGAAAGCGUGACGAGGUUAAUCCGAGUGGCUCCCGCUGAGGGGGUCUUUUGUCAGCUGUAAAUAGGCAGGCGAAUAAGGGAUAAUCAUUAA
RNAcentral lists this ribosomal RNA (386 nucleotides) under uncultured crenarchaeote. Its description in RNAcentral is "bacterial SSU rRNA". It matches the Rfam family "Archaeal small subunit ribosomal RNA", at positions 83 to 452 of the family's 1478-position model. Lineage: Archaea; Thermoproteati; Thermoproteota. The record is from RNAcentral.